RNAcentral lists this ribosomal RNA (497 nucleotides) under uncultured bacterium. Its description in RNAcentral is "partial 16S ribosomal RNA". It matches the Rfam family "Bacterial small subunit ribosomal RNA", at positions 28 to 507 of the family's 1533-position model. The record is from RNAcentral.
GACGAACGCUGGCGGCGUGCCUAAUACAUGCAAGUAGAACGCUGAAGAGAGGAGCUUACUCUUCUUGGAUGAGUUGCGAACGGGCGAGUAACGCGUAGGUAACCUGCCUUGUAGCGGGGGAUAACUAUUGGAAACGAUAGCUAAUACCGCAUAACAAUGGAUGACACAUGUCAUUUAUUUGAAAGGGGCAAUUGCUCCACUACAAGAUGGACCUGCGUUGUAUUAGCUAGUAGGUGAGGUAAUGGCUCACCUAGGCGACGAUACAUAGCCGACCUGAGAGGGUGAUCGGCCACACUGGGACUGAGACACGGCCCAGACUCCUACGGGAGGCAGCAGUAGGGAAUCUUCGGCAAUGGGGGCAACCCUGACCGAGCAACGCCGCGUGAGUGAAGAAGGUUUUCGGAUCGUAAAGCUCUGUUGUAAGUCAAGAACGGGUGUGAGAGUGGAAAGUUCACACUGUGACGGUAGCUUACCAGAAAGGGACGGCUAACUACGUG